This 253-nucleotide ribosomal RNA is filed under the name uncultured bacterium. RNAcentral's name for it is "partial 16S ribosomal RNA". It matches the Rfam family "Bacterial small subunit ribosomal RNA", at positions 524 to 776 of the family's 1533-position model. The record is from RNAcentral.
UACGUAGGUGACAAGCGUUGUCCGGAUUUACUGGGCGUAAAGAGCGCGCAGGCGGUCGUUCAAGUCGAGUGUGAAAGCCCCCGGCUCAACUGGGGAGGGUCACUCGAUACUGAUCGACUCGAAGGCAGGAGAGGGAAGUGGAAUUCCCGGUGUAGUGGUGAAAUGCGUAGAUAUCGGGAGGAACACCAGUGGCGAAGGCGACUUCCUGGCCUGUUCUUGUCGCUGAGGCGCGAAAGCUAGGGGAGCAAACGGG